GACGAACGCUGGCGGCGUGCCUAAUACAUGCAAGUCGAGCGGAACUGGGGGGAGCUUGCUCCUUCCAGUUUAGCGGCGGACGGGUGAGUAACACGUGGGCAACCUGCCCUGCAGAUCGGGAUAACUCCGGGAAACCGGUGCUAAUACCGAAUAGUUUGGCGCCUCUCCUGAGGCGCUACGGAAAGGCGGUUUCCGCUGUCACUGCAGGAUGGGCCCGCGGCGCAUUAGCUAGUUGGUGGGGUAACGGCCCACCAAGGCGACGAUGCGUAGCCGACCUGACAGGGUGCCCGGCCACACUGGGACUGAGACACGGCCCAGACUCCUACGGGAGGCAGCAGUAGGGAAUCUUCCGCAAUGGACGCAAGUCUGACGGAGCAACGCCGCGUGAGUGACGAAGGUUUUCGGAUCGUAAAACUCUGUUGUGAGGGAAGAACACGUACCAACUAACUAUUGGUACCUUGACGGUACCUCACCAGAAAGCCACGGCUAACUACGUGCCAGCCGCCGCCGUAA
Molecule: ribosomal RNA, 513 nt
Filed under: uncultured bacterium
Lineage: Bacteria
Description: partial 16S ribosomal RNA
Rfam family: Bacterial small subunit ribosomal RNA
Source: RNAcentral